Molecule: long non-coding RNA, 1877 nt
Organism: Triticum dicoccoides
Lineage: Eukaryota; Viridiplantae; Streptophyta; Magnoliopsida; Poales; Poaceae
Exons: 9
Source: RefSeq, a predicted model, not a curated record
UGCCUCAAUGAAAAAAGACCUACGAAAAAAGACCUACGAAAGAAAAAACAACGACAAAAAAUCAGGCGACUCGCACGCACGAGCGAGGCCUCUAGAUCCCGUCGCCACCGCCCGACACCGCCAGCCCCGUCCUCCUCCCUGGCUCCCGGCGCCGCCCGCCCCCCAUCUCCUCCUGCGAUCCUGGCGUCGCCCCGCCCCACCUUCUUCCUCACUCCCGGCGCUACCUAUCGAUCCCCUCGACGACACAGAGCCGCCAUCCUCUCAUGCGAUCUCGCUGCCGCCACCCUCCGAUCCGCUCCUCCUCUCCCGAGGAUACGCAUCCGCAUCCGCCGACGCCGAUACGGGCAGGCGCGGCCAUCGUGGAUCACGAGGAUCCGGAUGAUGGAGGCCGGCGACGACGGCGACGGAUCCGCACCCACAGCAUCCGGAUGGAGGCCGGCGACGAACCCAUCCGCCGACGGCGCCGGAUCUGUUACCGAGUGUCUGAAAUACUUGUCAAAUGUGGCUCAGUGAUAGAAUUAAGAAUGAAGGAGGAAGAUACCAGCACCAGCCCCAGCAAUAAAGACUGCGGCAAGGGCGACGACAGUGUGUCUCGACGAGCGUGAGCAAUGGCAGCAUCAUCUCCGACUCCAAGUACCUGACCAAGACGCUGUCCAGGUCACACGUCGAGGACUUCCUCCUGGACAAUGCCGCCUCCUUGGCUGUUGUUGUCGUCUCCUCAAAUAAGUCGUAUCAGCGCAUUUAGGCUCUGGUCAACAAGUGGACGGACAGGUUGUCCAUUCUUGUUGUUCUUGCGUGUCAAGAUUCUUGGCUGCAGACUUGCAGUUCUGCAGAUACACCAUGAUUGCAGCAGGUGUUGGAAGAAAUCAUCCGAUGGUCAUAACUGACGAAGGAAGUGCUUUGUAUACGGACAAGCUGGGGACGAGUUCACUAAGGAGUGGGACUAAGGUGUCACCACUCCCCUGCCUUGUUACUAAAGCAACUAAUGUUGUUUGUGGUGCUGACUUCACUAUCUAACUGUCAUCGGUUGAGGGAUCUUCCGUACUGUAUGGCCUUCCUGAAACUAUGAAACUUAAAGAUUAGCACGCUCUUUUUUCUUUCAGAUAAAGCAAAAGGCUUUGAUCAUCUUCUCAUGAUAAAAUAUUUAGAUAAUUAUCUGCUUUGGUUGUUAUUAGUGGGGUUUUCCUUCGUCAUUUCUUUGAAGAUGUAUUUAGUUCUUCUGUGCUAUUCAGUACAUCAGGACUUCCUCGGUACGGCUAACUUGGUCAUGGAAGCGAUAAUCAGAUCACUCCUUAAUGUUAAGAGGGGAGGGAUGAUUUUAAGGAUAUUUUUGUAAAAGGAGGACAUUGACAAAAACAUUGAAUACAAGGAGCUUGCAACCAUGAUGGAAUGAAUCUUUGCGUGGUAGCCUGCUUGCCGCCCAGAUAGUGAGCCCCUGAGCUCCUGAAGAAAGGACAGUUGAAGGAAAUGAAAGAAGCGAACACAAAGGAUCCUACGCCAAAGGAUGAAGAGGUCGAGGAAGUGAUGGAAGGGGGUGCGUGGAGGAGGACAGGUGCAUGGUGAAGCUGGCGUGAUGGCUGCGAAGGUCAAAGGAGAGAAGGCUAGCACUGGACUUAUUUUGGAGUCUCUUGACAGGCACAUCGCACAUCAACCUUGGGUGAUUUAAGUUGGAAGAAUCCAAUCAAGACUUGACAUGGAGUGACAAUGCCCUCCUAUCAAGGGGACAUCAAAUACCGAGGGAAAAUCUCUCUCAAAUAAUAGAAUAUAGUUAUUUUGUUCCAGUACAACUUUCUUUCGUUUUCAUCCUUGCUUCGAUGUAGAUAGUAUGAGGACAGAGAUUACAAGACACCUGACAAUAAAUUAUUUAUUAGAUUUGG